AAUAUACUUUUACAUUGUUGAGUUAGGAAGGGCAUGUUUCCUUUAACCAUAAAUCAUUCUUGGAGACCCGUUGGACAGAUGAAGCUCGAGUUCGCUUCRCCUCGGUAUCACAUUCCCUCAGUGCCAUCUUGCGCACUGCCAUUGCUCUUGAUUUAUGGUUGUCGCAAGGAAAGCGAUCUUAUUCUAACACACGCUACUUUUAUCACAGUAAAAGACCACAGAAAUGRUCWAWGAAAAGCGUCAUGUGUUGUUUUCAAAAAGAUUUAUCUCAGGAUACAAGAAUCUCUGACGAAGUAGCGCUCUUGAAAUAUGGCUGUCCCGAGAAGAAAUGUAGCUGCCUGUUCCGCAGUUCCAGUCAGUUGUCCCGCAACAUGAGAUGAAGUUUGUUGCGAACUAAAACCUGGAUUAUUUGAAGGGCAUAAAGUUGGGAGUUUGGCGGUUGAAUAGAACUGUUUUAUUUAUUCACGAGUCCAUUCAGGGCUUGUUUUGCAAAUGUACCUUGCACCAAAUGUCUUCUUUGAACCGCCUGUCACAGCAAGGAGGUUUCUUUACGUAAAAGCAUUUUUUGGAAGCGCUUGGCUGACAAAGAUAGUCGAUGCCAUCUGUGAGGUGUGGCGCGGAAGUCUAAACCGACCAGCCUAUUGAAGACAUCUAGGUAGUAAUUAUUAUUGUUAUAGCCUAGCCUUUAUUGUAAAUAACAGACUGGUAUCUUCAAUACUGAAAAUCUAAAAAGAACCCUAUGAAAUACGCAUCAUGAGACUAGUACAACUGGAUAGUUGCAAAACGCAUUAUAUUCGUUAUAUAUCUAUUGGACUAUUUACAUCUUUAGAUGCUAGAUUUUCUUGCAUUUCACAAUGACUGCAUGCCGAGUCUAAACAGUAAGCAAUUGCUAGUGUUGUAUACGAGAUAUCAGAAAUUAUUCGCAGUAUAUGCAAAAACUUGGAAAUUAUUAAMAUUACGAAMARAAAGUCACAAAAAGAAUGGUAAUGUGCAAGUUUUAUGUACAAAUUCCGAUUAUAACACUGUAAUUGGUUCGUGUUGUCAAUACACGCGGCGUAUAAUUGA
Long non-coding RNA from Exaiptasia diaphana, 1065 nucleotides. RefSeq lists it as uncharacterized. The transcript has 2 exons. Lineage: Eukaryota; Metazoa; Cnidaria; Anthozoa; Actiniaria; Aiptasiidae. The record is from RefSeq and is a predicted model, not a curated record.